This 497-nucleotide ribosomal RNA is filed under the name uncultured bacterium. Its description in RNAcentral is "partial 16S ribosomal RNA". It matches the Rfam family "Bacterial small subunit ribosomal RNA", at positions 28 to 507 of the family's 1533-position model. The record is from RNAcentral.
GAUGAACGCUGGCGGCGUGCCUAAUACAUGCGAGUCGAGCGAACAGACGAGGAGCUUGCUCCUCUGACGUUAGCGGCGGACGGGUGAGUAACACGUGGAUAACCUACCUAUAAGACUGGGAUAACUUCGGGAAACCGGAGCUAAUACCGGAUAAUAUAUUGAACCGCAUGGUUCAAUAGUGAAAGACGGUUUUGCUGUCACUUAUAGAUGGAUCCGCGCCGCAUUAGCUAGUUGGUAAGGUAACGGCUUACCAAGGCAACGAUGCGUAGCCGACCUGAGAGGGUGAUCGGCCACACUGUAACUGAGACACGGUCCAGACUCCUACGGGAGGCAGCAGUAGGGAAUCUUCCGCAAUGGGCGAAAGCCUGACGGAGCAACGCCGCGUGAGUGAUGAAGGUCUUCGGAUCGUAAAACUCUGUUAUUAGGGAAGAACAAAUGUGUAAGUAACUAUGCACGUCUUGACGGUACCUAAUCAGAAAGCCACGGCUAACUACGUG